CCUACGGGUGGCAGCAGUGAGGAAUAUUGGUCAAUGGGCGCAAGCCUGAACCAGCCAAGUAGCGUGAAGGAUGGCUGCCCUACGGGUUGUAAACUUCUUUUAUAAAGGAAUAAAGUGAGGCACGUGUGCCUUUUUGUAUGUACUUUAUGAAUAAGGAUCGGCUAACUCCGUGCCAGCAGCCGAGGUAAUCAGGGGGAUCCGAGCGUUAUCCGGCUUUAUUGGGUUUAAAGGGUGCGUAGAUGGGUUGUUAAGUCAGUUGUGAAAGUCUGCGGCCCAAGCGUAAAAUUGCAAUUGAUACUGGCAGCCUUGAGUACAGUUGAGGUAGGCGGAAUUCGUGGUGUAGCGGUGAAAUGCUUAGAUAUCACGAAGAACUCCGAUUGCGAAGGCAGCCUACUAAACUGCCACUGACAUUGAUGCUCGAAAGUGUGGGUAUCAAACAGGAUUAGAUACCCCGGUAGUC
RNAcentral lists this ribosomal RNA (460 nucleotides) under uncultured bacterium. RNAcentral's name for it is "partial 16S ribosomal RNA". It matches the Rfam family "Bacterial small subunit ribosomal RNA", at positions 338 to 795 of the family's 1533-position model. The record is from RNAcentral.